This 54-nucleotide non-coding RNA is filed under the name Chromera velia. The record is from RNAcentral. Lineage: Eukaryota; Chromeraceae.
UUGUGUGUGUCUCCGAAAACUGCCCAAGAAGAAAAGGUGAAGCGUUACCUCCAC